GACGAACGCUGGCGGCGUGCUUAACACAUGCAAGUCGAACGGAAAGGCCCUGCUUUUGUGGGGUUCUCGAGUGGCGAACGGGUGGGUAACACGUGAGUAACCUGCCCUUGACUUUGUGAUAACUUCAGGAAACUGGGGCUAAUAUCGGAUAGGAGCUCCUGCUGCAUGGUGGGGGUUGGAAAGUUUCGGCGGUUGGGGAUGGACUCGCGGCUUAUCAGCUUGUUGGUGGGGUAGUGGUAGACCAAGGCUUUGAGGGGUAGCCGGCCUGGGAGGGGAGACGGCGACCAGGGUCCUAAGGGAGGCCGCAGACGGCAAUGGUCGGCAGUGGGCGGAAACAUGACGGAGCGGGGCCACGUGGGUGACGGAGGUCUCCGGGGCGGAAAGCCGGCUUUCGGGGUAUAAACCGCUUUCGCCGGUGACGAAGAGGGAGUGACGGUAAUGGGUCAAGAAGCACCGGCUAACUACGUG
This 468-nucleotide ribosomal RNA is filed under the name uncultured bacterium. RNAcentral describes it as "partial 16S ribosomal RNA". It matches the Rfam family "Bacterial small subunit ribosomal RNA", at positions 28 to 507 of the family's 1533-position model. The record is from RNAcentral.